GUGACACUUCUUUCUUUUACCUUGAAUCCUAAAUGCAUAAAGAAGGAAAAAAGAACAAGGGGUGAUGAUACUUUAUCAUUAGGGCCAGAGCCAUAUGGUUAAAUUGAUUGUUUUCUCUUACCUUUUUUCCUUUUCUUAUUUUUCAUAUUUCUUCUAAAAGAGAUGGCUUUGAUUUGACUAAAUAAGAGCAUAAUGUUGAUAAUGGAGAGAAUAUUGUUCUGGUGCCGACGAUAGCGCUGGGAGUUUUAC
This 249-nucleotide unclassified non-coding RNA is filed under the name Hevea brasiliensis (rubber tree). Lineage: Eukaryota; Viridiplantae; Streptophyta; Magnoliopsida; Malpighiales; Euphorbiaceae. The record is from RNAcentral.